Molecule: ribosomal RNA, 595 nt
Filed under: uncultured crenarchaeote
Lineage: Archaea; Thermoproteati; Thermoproteota
Description: bacterial SSU rRNA
Rfam family: Archaeal small subunit ribosomal RNA
Source: RNAcentral
AGCCCGGAGAUGGACACUGAGACAAGGGUCCAGGCCCUAAGGGGCGCAGCAACCGCGAAACCUCCACAAUGCACUCACGUGCGAUGGGGCUAUCUCGAGUGCCACCUGAUGAAGGUGGCUUUUCCUUGGUCUUCAAAGCCUUGGGAAUAAGAGGGGGGCAAGACUGGUGUCAGCCGCCGCGGUAACACCAGCCCCUCGAGUGGUGGGGAUGAUUAUUUGGCCUAAAGCGUCCGUAGCCGGCCGAGCAAGUCUUCCGUUAAAUCCAGCGUCUCAAGCGUUGGACCGCGGGAGAUACUACACGGCUAGAGAGUGGGAGAGGUCAGCGGUAUUCUGGGGGUAGGGGCGAAAUCCUUUGAUCCCCGGAGGACCACCAGUGGCGAAGGCUGCUGACUAGAACACGCCUGACGGUCAGGGACGAAAGCUGGGGUAGCGAACCGGAUUAGAUACCCGGGUAGUCCCAGCCGUAAACGAUGCAUGCUAGGUGUUGGGUUGGCCACGAGCCACCCCAGUGCCGCAGGGAAGCCGUUAAGCAUGCCGCCUGGGAAGUACGAUCGCAAGAUUGAAACUUAAAGGAAUUGGCGGGGGAGCACAAUCG